RNAcentral lists this ribosomal RNA (231 nucleotides) under Triticum aestivum (bread wheat). Its description in RNAcentral is "partial small subunit ribosomal RNA". Lineage: Eukaryota; Viridiplantae; Streptophyta; Magnoliopsida; Poales; Poaceae. The record is from RNAcentral.
AUGGAUAAAGUGCGCAAAACAGACUCACAUUUUUCAAUUGAAAAGAUGGGUUCCUUUUUCGUCUCGACAAAGAAAGAAUCACUUGAAAAAAACGCUCCUAACCCCUUCGUAGGGCCGUGUAUAGUAAGUGAUCCGAACCUGCCCGGAGCGCCCCCCUUAGAGGCAAGUGAAGUUGGUGAGCCGUAUGAUGGGCAACUAUCUCCUGCGGUUUGGAGAGGACUCAGCUGUUAG